AGUGAACGCUGGCGGUAGGCCUAACACAUGCAAGUCGAACGGCAGCACAGUAAGAGCUUGCUCUUACGGGUGGCGAGUGGCGGACGGGUGAGGAAUACAUCGGAAUCUACUUUUUCGUGGGGGAUAACGUAGGGAAACUUACGCUAAUACCGCAUACGACCUACGGGUGAAAGCAGGGGAUCUUCGGACCUUGCGCGAUUGAAUGAGCCGAUGUCGGAUUAGCUAGUUGGCGGGGUAAAGGCCCACCAAGGCGACGAUGCGUAGCCGGUCUGAGAGGAUGACAGGCGACACUGGAAGGUAGACACGGUCCUGAAUCCGACGGGGGGCAGCAGUAGGUAAUCUUCCGCGAUGGGCGAAAGCCUGACGCAGCAACGCCGCGUGAUUGAUGAAGGUCCGCGGAUCGUAAAACUCUGGUAUUAGGGAAGAACAUAUGUGUAAGUAACUGGGCACAUCUUGACGGUACCUAAUCAGAAAGCCACGGCUAACUUCGUG
This 492-nucleotide ribosomal RNA is filed under the name uncultured bacterium. Its description in RNAcentral is "partial 16S ribosomal RNA". It matches the Rfam family "Bacterial small subunit ribosomal RNA", at positions 29 to 507 of the family's 1533-position model. The record is from RNAcentral.